This 254-nucleotide ribosomal RNA is filed under the name uncultured bacterium. Its description in RNAcentral is "partial 16S ribosomal RNA". It matches the Rfam family "Bacterial small subunit ribosomal RNA", at positions 524 to 776 of the family's 1533-position model. The record is from RNAcentral.
UACGUAGGGUGCAAGCGUUGUCCGGAAUUAUUGGGCGUAAAGAGUUCGUAGGCGGUUUGUCGCGUCCGUUGUGAAAGCUUGGGGCUCAACCCCAAGUCUGCAGUGUAUACGGGCAGACUAGAGUCAGGUAGGGGAGAACGGAAUUCCUGGUGUAGCGGUGAAAUGCGCAGAUAUCAGGAGGAACACCAAUGGCGAAGGCAGCUCGCUGGAACGGUACUGACGCUGAGGCGACGAAAGCGUGGGGAGCAAACAGG